RNAcentral lists this long non-coding RNA (17910 nucleotides) under Medicago truncatula (barrel medic). RNAcentral's name for it is "long non-coding RNA (MTRU_LNC000827)". The stretch from base 16846 to 17014 matches the Rfam family "small nucleolar RNA snoR143". Lineage: Eukaryota; Viridiplantae; Streptophyta; Magnoliopsida; Fabales; Fabaceae. The record is from RNAcentral.
GUAGAGAUGGAAUCCACAGAUCUUGAGUUUUUUCUCUCUUACUUCUACUAAUUCCAUCUCACCUUUACUUAUGAUUAACUGUUAAUUUUAAUUUAUUGGUUUAUUUUGAUGUAACUUUUACUGUUGACAUAAAUUUUGGGGUUUUAUGACGAGGAAGAAGACAUAAAGCAGUAUGCAUUGACCUUUUUUUCUACAUUUGUUGUUUAAGUUUAAGCUUCAAUUAGUUGCUCUUUAAACUCAUUCAUCCGUAGAUAGCAAGGAAGGAGUAAUUGAAGUGGAUACCUUCAUUUGUCUCUGAUUGACUUUUUUGGAGACAAUCAUGUUUCAGAUGAAAUUUUUUAGGUUGCUUGUCACCCUGAUGCCGCAACUAUGGUUACAGUAUAGGAAUAGUUUGUUGUGUAGAGCUAAACUUGAAUCAUGUCUCUUUCAUUCAAAUCAUCAUAACCAAUGUAUUCUUUAAAACAUAUAUAUUUGUAAUGUCAUCCCCAAACACCAAAUUGUGUUUAUUGAAUUCAUAUAUAUGUACAAAUAUGCUCUUCCUGCUUCACACAAAACCAAAGCUUGUGCAACCAAUGUUUCACUCUGAACUCAAUUUAUAUUCUUGGUUAAUAUAUAUAGUGAGUUAUAUAGGGGCUUGAAGUAUUAGGUUGUCGUUUGUCACAUGUUUUAAUUAGGCAAGUAACUAAAAUGCUGCAUAAUUUGACUCAUGAAUGGAUGGAUUUUCCUGUCUUAAUGCAAUAACUGGAUCAUUGGCUUUCUGAUCGUGGGGUUGACGGCAGCAUAUUGUAUUUGUUCUUGGCUGAUGACAUGGACUCUUCAUCACUUGAAUUUAAAACUACAAUGGAUCUUUUGGUCAUAUUAAGUUGCUAAAUUUUCAUUUCAGGUAUUAUACUCAAGAUAUAUGGAAAGCCAAUUCCGCUUAAUAAUGGAGAAUCUUGCAUUAAGGGAUGAAGAAGCCAAAUUAGAAAUUUUCGAAAGUAUUUUACCAUUUUUUAGGUCCGAUGUCCCCAUUAUCCCAUAAACCUUUUGCAAGUCAUUAUUUAUUUUUAUAACCUAGUGCAAUUUCCCGCCGUUGCUGCAUGGUCCAAGGUGCACGGGCGCUUCUGGCAACCCCUUGUGCGUGAAAUCUGCAGUUUCCAACCCUUUUUCAAGCGUUCUUACGUCUUGCAAUGUCUUGCAAUGAAUUUUCUUCACUUUAUAUCGUCUUCAAAUGUCUUCUAAGAACCGUUAAUCUUUAAUCUUCAUAUCUUCGAUCCUUCACUUUGUGUCUGUUUUGCUUAUUUACAUGAUUUUCUCACUAAAAAGACUCAAAACACCCAUGGAUUUGCAUGAUUUAGGAUAAAACUAAACUACAACGACUCGAAUGAAAACAAUACAAAAAGUUUCUCAAAUCAUAACCAACUUGUCUUAUUGCUUCUAAUUUGCCUUCAAAUGCAAAAAAAAGAAAAAAAAAAAAAGAAAAAAAAAAGAAAGAAAGAAACUAAAAACAUAGUUAAAAAUAUUAUAUGUUAUUCCAUCAUCGCCGACCUUAUAUGAAAGGUUGGAAGGAUGCACAAUCAUAUGCUUAAACUAUAUUGACAAACAAAACAUCAAAGUUUUGAUACAAAAUCAUACAUCCAAUGAGGUGUGAGUAGCUUAUAAGAAAUAAGGAGGUGCCAAAAACAACUCAAUCUAAUUUGGGUCAUUUAUAGGCGGAUCAACAUUCUUUGGGUAUGGACACACAAGGUCGGCCCAUUUGAUCAAUACUAUAUAAGGAUAUGUCACCCUACCACUGACAGUGCAACAUUUAUUUACAACAACAUAAAAGAAAAUCUAGGAGUUCAGGCCUGAUUGAUUCAACAAGACAAAUCGAUUCACCAAGACAAAUCAGGUAUACGAUCUUACUGAAAUUUAAUAUUCUUUUUCAAUUCCAACGUGAUUCAAUUAGAUGAUAUCAUAACUUAUUACUUGAUUUAUUCUUUAGAUAUUGCAAUCUUUUUCGUUAUUAAAUGGAUUUUAAAGAAUGAGAUGUUUAGAAAUUAAUAUAUUUAUUUAUCACGCCACAAGACAGGUUUAUGUCAAUUUUCCUCUAUUUUUAUGAUUUGCCAAGAUUUCGCAUUUUAUGGGUACACGCAUGAUGAGUUUUGAAAUGAGUCAUCCUAAAAAGUAAUUAAGGAAUAAUCAAAAAUUCAUUUACAGAUCUGAAAGUUAGCUAGAUAUGAGAAUCAAAUUUGAGAAUUAUACCUUCAAUUUGAAUUCAGAUAGCUUUAAAAUCAAACUCAUAUGAAAACAUAUUUAGAGGGUUUUCUUAGGAUUUUGAGUUAAAUUUACGGUUACAAGUUAAUCAGAUUUGAGAUGGGUACUGAUAAAACAUCAGAUGACCGCAUUAUCAAACUUAACUCAAAUCGGGCUAUUCGAACAAAUAAUGGUUCCAUGAUCAUUAAAUUGAUAUGAAGGUGAGUACUAUAGUAAAUCUAUUAUAGUUUUUGCUUUUGAUCGCAGUAAUUAUGUUUUUUUAACCCUCAUAGGCUGGUUUGGUGGUGUCGGCUUAGACUUUUCAAUGUGCUCCUCUCAAGGUCUCAAGUUUUAUUCUCCCCAAUACCAAUUUUAAUAGGUUAGUUUGGAUUCUUAAAAAAAACAUGUUUUUUUCCUUGCCACAUGUCAGUCUCCCAUUGGAUGUCGACGACUGAUAUGGUUGUGAUGAUGUAGCAACUUUAUGCCAUGCAGCAAGGUUCAAUCAUCAUGAUUCCAUGUGUAGAUUUAGUGUGACUCGGAUAUCACAUGAACCAAACGUGAUGUAAUCAAGGUCGGCCCAAGUCAUAGGCCAGGGGUGCGGCAACCUAUUACCAAUAUUUUUUUAGAGGGUGUGGGUGUAUAUAUCAAUUUGUUUUCUAAAGGGGGUAUGCAGAUGAAGAGUAUUAUGGUGUUAUGGUGACUUGGGGUGACACCCUAGCUGAUAUGUCAAUCGUCAUGAUUAACGCAUGUCUCGUUCAUCAUUUACUAGAAACGAAGCCGGAUGGAAUCUUAAUUUGUGGGAAUAGAUUCUAAAGAAUUUUACGCACACCAUAUAAAAGAUGUUAUCCGAAGGAAUUUUAUAAAUUAUAUACUUCCAUAGCGUACGAACUUGCAUCUUACUAGUAUAAUGAAGAGUAUUUGUUUUCUUGUUACUUUCUUAUCUAUCUGUAUCACAAGAAUGAUUUCCAAAAUUCAAUUACUAGAAAAAUAUACAGAACUUUUUACUUAUGAAUUUUCUAAAAUGCAUAUUAUUAUUUUAGAUAUCAGAGUUCUUUGAAAAGUGGAUGGAGAAGCAAGAGGUUGGAAAGAACAAUGAUGAAAUGCAAAAUUCUGAAGGAGAAAAUCAUCCUAUGGUAUGUAUUAUUGACCAUAGAAUAAACAGUUACAUAAUAAUUUUUGUAAUUGAAUUCAUUUUUUUAUUUGCUAAAAUGUGAUUUCAUGCUUCCGCUGAUGUUACUUAUUGUCCAUGCAAAAUGCAAUGGAAAACAUAUCUCUUCGGAUCGCUGCUCUGGAUAACCUAAAUGCAGAUGAAGAAUUCGCAAAUAUGGUUGAAAGUCAUAAGGUCUAUAAUCCCUUUCCUUUUGUUUUGUUACUGAUCAAAAUUGUGUUUGUUAGGUCAACGUUAGCAUAGUAUUUAUGUCAUUCAAAUAUCAAUUUAUAUACAGGGAGAAAAAAGAACAACUUCAUGUUGAAUUCGUUAAGCUUGUAAGACAACUGGAUAUGAAACAAAAGUUGGAAUGGGAGAUUGGGCAACUAAAAGGAUCACUAAUUGUGUUGAAUAAUUUAAGUUGGAUCAUAUUCAUCCCUUCAAUGGGACAACUCCACAAAAAAUGAGCCUCAUUCUUCUUUUGCAGCUGGCUCAGCUUAUUCCAACGGUUCUUCUCGAUGUCUAGUGCAUCGUGCAUACGAGUCAGCAAAGCAUUGAGCAGUGAAAGCAACCUGCAAGUGACUUUCUCGAAGCGUCGUAGUGGGCUCUUCAAGAAAGCUAGCAAGUUUUGCACCCGUUGUCGUGCAUAUCUUGCUCUAAUUAUAUUCUCACUUGGUGAGAAGGUAUUUUUAUUUGGUCAGCCAAGUGUUGAAACGGUCAUAAAUCUUUAUCACUCAGAUUCCACCCUAAAACAAUGGCAUAACGCAAUUCAUUGAGGGAUAUCGUAACACCAAAGUUCGCAAGCUCAUUUUGGGUGGAGUUGUUCCAUUUAUGGGAUGAAUAUGAUCCAACUUGAAUUAUUCAAGAUUCUUGAAUAAUUCAAGUUGGAUCAUAUUCAUCAUACCAAUGGGAAGAGUCCACCAAAAAUGACCCUCCUUUUUCUUUCACAGCUGGCUUAGCUCAUUCUAACGGUUCUUUUCGAUGUCCACUGCAUCGUUCAUACGAGUCCGUAGAGAAUUGAGCUUGCGCACUUUGGCGCUACAAUAUGCCUCAAUGAAUUGCAUUAUGGCAUUGUUUUAGGGUGGAAACUGAAAGAGGUACCAAUUAUGACUGUUUCGACACUUGGCUGACCAAAUGAAAAUACCUUCUCACUAGGUGAGAAUAUAAUUAGAGUAACAUAUGCACCACAAAGGGUGCAAAGCUCGCUAGCUUUCUUGAAGAGUCCACUAUGGCGCUUCGAGAAAGUCACUUGCAGGUUGCUUUCAUUGCUCAUCUUUUUCAUCAUAAUCUUUUGGCGACCUCGAGUUUUCUUUCCGCUCGAUAUGGCUGAAGCACAAAAAGAGAGAGAAAAAUAUGGGUGGGUGUGUUUGUUCUAUAGACUAAGAAAUGACACAUUGUAAUUUGGUGUGAAGGGGUCAUUUUAUAGACAAAUUUUGUGAGUAUAUUUUUGAAAAUAUACCUUUUCAUUACAUUGAAAUAUUUACUGGAUUGAGAGAUUCUCAUCAAAUCUCUUUUAAUAUGGCUAAUAUGGCAGAUGAUUCAAUGUCAAAAAAUGUCAUUCUAUUAUAAAUUUAUAAUUGUAUUUGGAUAAUUCUAAGAAUUUGCAAUAAUCAUUUUUAUAUUUAUUUAUUUAUAUAAAAAUUAAUGAGUGUGGUGCACCAUAUAAAGAACGGUGAUAGUAUCCUUUACAAACAAUGUAGUAGGUUAUCCCUAAAAAAAAUAGUGUAGUGGGUUUAUUACUCACUUUUGUAGGUCUCAAUUUACCACUCUCAAGACUAGGAUUAAUAGAUGUUUUAUUUAGUCUUCAUAUGAAACAAAAUUGAUCGACCAAUUGAUUUACAAUGUUGUUGAUGAACUUUUUAUUUGUAAUUUAGGAUUGAAUUGGAAAACAAUAAGAAAAACAUGUAUGUAAGUAAUCAUGCUUGAUACAUUAAACACUUUUUGGACCUUCCAUCUUUUUGACAAAGUUUAAUAAAAAAUGCAGGAUCAAUCCAUUACAAAAAUAAAAUAAAAUGAAGGACUAACUUGUUCAAAUCCACUAUGAGAUGGUUGUAAUAUGACUACUAGUGUCACUUUAAUUAAUAAUAAUUUCAUCAUUUCUCUUUAUUAAAAAUUAGUUUUAACCUUAGUAAUCAAUUUUAUUACCAUGAAUAAAUUAAAAUUAUGACAGAACUAAAAAUAUAUUAAUUUAAUUAAUUAUAAUAUAUUAUGAUUGAAAGAAAAAAAGUAUAGUUUUUUAAUUAAAUUGGUUUUAUAAAAAAUAUAUUAAUUUAAUUAAUUAUAUAUCAUUUUAGCUUGUUAAAAAAAACGUGCAUCAUAGAGAAACAAGAAUAUAGUUUUUCAAUCAACAUGUACUCAACAAGAACAAAAAAGCAAAGAAAUAUGAUUAAACAAGAACAAUAAGAAAUCGAUUCAUAGGAAUGAACUACAUGAAAGUGUUUGAGUGAUGAAAUAAUGAUACCCAUGAACGAUUUUUCAAUCCUAUCAUUUGAAACCCACGAAAAUAUAUGGAUUAAAAUAACAAAGGGGUUUAACGAGAGCGUCAUUCCACCCAAUUUGCAUAUCAACAAAAUCACUUAUCAUUUUAAUCCUUACUCGGUGAGAAGGCAUUUUUAUUUGGUCACCCAAAUGUUAAAAUGGUCAUAAAUCGUUGUCUCUCAGGUCCAACCCCAAAACAAUGGCAUAAUGCAAUUCAUUGAGGCAUACUGUAGCGCCAAAGUGCACAAGCUCAAUGCUCUGCUGACUCAUGAACGAUGCAUUGGACAUCGAGAAGAACCAUUGGAAUGAGCUGAGCCAGCUGCGAAAGAAGAAUGAUGCUCAUUUUUGCGGACCAUUGGACAGAAAAUAAAAUACUAUUCAAAAUAAGCUAGUAGACUGCUGAUUUCUUGUUACAGUGCGUAUUAAACUAAUUACUUGUUAUAAUGCGUAUUAAAGCCUGUUUGUUAUAGCUUUUUUAAUUAAAAAAAUCAUUUUUUUAAAAAUGAUUACUUUUAAGAGUUUUGCAUUCGUUUAUUUCAACUUUUUUAAAAAAUCAGAAUCUAAAAAAAAUCUAAAAGUAACUUCAAAUGAGAAGUUGUUAAGAGUAGCUUCUCAAAAAAUAAAUUAUUUUAGAGGAGAGAGAAAAUAUAGAUCAAAAUAUUGAACUAAUUUUAUAACAGAAAAUCUCUUUUAUAUAGUUGUAUCAAAACAAACUAAAUCAUUUUCUAAAAAAAUUGACUUUUAUUAUGGUAAACAAACUCAAAAUAGAUUCUGAUUAUGGUAAACAAACGCAAAAUAGAUUCUGAUUUUUCAUUUGUCAAAAUCACUUUUAUUUUAAUUCGUAACAAAUCGACCCUUGAUCUUUUUUUAGGAUUGUGUAGUUAAAUUCUUAAAAUUUAUUCCCUCUAUCUCAAAUUAGGUUAGGAUAGGAGGAUGUAAGAAACAGACCUGUUUGGAUUAGUUUUUUUUUUUAAUACGAAAGAAGAAUAUAUUAAAUAAAAAUAAAUUAAUACAGAAAUUGGGGGACAUUAGACCUGACCCAGGUUUAAAUGAGAAUAAAUUAUGAUAAUCAAUGGAGCAACCCUAAUCAAUCAUAACAAACAAACAUUCCUCACGGGCGUAACCUAAUGAAACCGCUUACGGGCGCGGAACCAAGCUACAAAAAAAGAUGAAAAGUGCAUGAAUGUAUGGAUAAAAGGGUUAUAAAUUGGCGAAUGGAUCGACCGCCAACACGGUUUCAAGAUCCAAGUACCAGCAACCCCCUCAACAAAGCAACAUGCAUAGUAGCUCUUUCGAGCAUAACAUUCCAUGUCAUAGGGACUAAGACAGAAAAAGAAGACAGUACCGGAGUGGAGGCUGAAUUAGAGACUCGAGACCUGUAAAUCUCCAUAGACCUGGAACAUAAGAGAAUCAAUCACAUAACCACCAGCACACCAGUUUCAAGUAGCGCUUGAACCCAGAUCGUGGGAUGAGUCCAACGCAUUGUAACCGAACAGUCCUUUCGGGUUAAUAAACCCAGACCCUUUUGAGUUUACAAAACCGAGGCCACAUUUGUGACCACCCAAUCUCAUAUCAGAAACACAAACAUACAAAACAAACAGAAUCAUACAAAAGAAACGAACAUCGGCGGAAGAACAUAACCAAAUUCCAUAUCCUGUAACUAGAGAGUAGAAACUCUGCAUCCAGCAACUGGGGAACAAAAACAACUCCUCCACCUUGCCAAAAAGACGCCCCACAGUCCGACGUGGAGGAGGCGCACCCAAAACCAUAAAAUACUCAUGAACCGAGCUCAAUCCAGUGAAGAUAUACAUAUCAAGGCGCAACAACCACCAACCAAACUGAAACCUCUCAAACGGUUGCAACGACGACUAAAACAGAUCAAGCUUGCGUCCAAACUAGAUCUGACGACGACCGAAUAGUGAACACGAACGAAAGUUGAGGGGUGUCGGUGGUGAGGGGAACCUACAAUCUCGUAGCAUCACCAAUGAAAGAGAUUACAUUUGACCUUGUUAUUUGGAUGUGAAAGGGAAGAAAGGAGGAGGUCGGUGGUGAUGUUGUAAGAAGGAAAAAAGUCGUUCAAGGGUAGUGAGAGACGAGAGCUUCUCUCUAAACACGCUUCAAACUACGUAUUCCUUAUUUGGAUUAACUUAUUUUAGAGCUUAUACAAAACAGUUUAUGCAAAUAAAUAAAUUUUUAUGUAUUAUUUAUAAGUUAUUUACAUACACUCAAAAUCUGAUUAUGUAAAGGGUUAAUACCUCUUUUCAUCCCUGUAAUAUUAGCGAAUUUCGGUUUUAGUCCCUGUAAAAAAAAAUUUAGAUUUUGUCCCUGUAAUUUCAUAUUCUUCCACUUUUGGUCCCUUAUUCCACCACGUCAGCAGAAUCUGCAUACAUGGCACGUAAAAUGAGGGACCAAAAGUGAAGGAAUUUGAAAUUACAUGGACCAAAAGUGGGAGGAAUCUGAAAUUACAGGGAUGUAAUUUAUGUAGAUUUUGCUGACGUGAUGAAAGGAGGGACCAAAAGUGGAACAAUAUGAAAUUACAGGGACAAAAUCUAAAUUUUUUUUUUACAGGGACUAAAACUGGAAUUCGCUAAUAUUACAGGGACGAAAAGAGGUAUUUACCCUUAUGUAAAUUAUUGUCACUUUGUCCGAGUUAAGGGAAAAAAAGUAAAGACGAUAUCUAAGUUUAGGAGGCGGCGAAGCUAGCAAUAUUUUUAUGAGGUGUCGACAUAUAUAUAUAUUUUUUUUAACUAGUAAAUUUAACCAAUAAGAAAAAAUAAAUUCUCAAUAACUAUUACGUACAUAAAAUGCACUUAAAGCUUGUACCAAAAAAAAAAUGCACUUAAAGCUAUAAUUUACUAAUUACUUUGUUUAGCUGUAAAGAAAAAAAUUCAAAGUGUUAAUAAUGGGUUUGUUAUAAUAAAGGGUUAAUAAAUUAUGUUUGGGUCAAUAGUGAUAGAAUUUCUUUUGUUGGAGAAAGUUAUAGAAUAUUGUUGUUGUCGUCAUAUUUUCAUUAUCAAUCAAAGAAUAUGUAUAUUUUUUAUGUUCACCCUUCGGUUUUUAGAAGAUCAGAUCAAGUAAUUCGAAGUUCAAUUGAAAAGUAAGUAAAAUCAAAAAAGAAAAAAAAAAAAAUCAAUCCAUCUAAAAUCAAACUUGGGGUAGCCAGAUAUAUAUUAUUAGGGGUAGCUUAAUAUAAAAAUAUACCAACUCAUUCAACAAUUUUUUUUCUCUUUGGGGUAGCUAUGGCUACCCCUCUCACAUGAAAUGAAAGCAAUCACCCCUGGGAGAGAGUAUACAAUUUUCAUAAGGGCACUCACCAAUUGAGUGACUCAUCAACCUUGUCUCUGAAUUUGCAUAAACCGGCCAAAUUCGUCCCCCAAUUUAACGAAAUAUCAAAAUAGUUUCUGAAUUUGUAAAAUGUCAAUCAAUUUAGUCCCUCCGUCCAAUUGGAGUGUUAACGGUGCUGACGUGACCGUCAAUCUCUCACAUGUCAGAUGCCACACAAGCAAAGACUAAUUUGGCUGAUAGUGACCAAAAUUUCCAAGGACGAAAUUGAUUGAUUUGCAGAAAAUGUUCUUUCCUCCCCAACGGCUCUAUCUUUCUUCCUCCAAUAUAUAAAAUUGGAACCCUAAUUUUACAAUCUUUAAUCUACACUCCAAAAUUCCCAAAAUUUCUUUCAAUAAUUAGUGGUAACGUACUUCCCCAAUUCAAAAAACCCCAAACCCUAUUUUUUUUUAUUGAAUCCGAAAAUCAGAUUCCCUAAAAUUUCUUCAAGCAAAACUGUUCAAAUUGAAUCUGAAAUGAUGGUGGGUGGGUAUAUUUAGGUGUGUGUAGAGUUGUAAUGAAAAGAGGUUGAAGAUGAAUGAAAUGUAGCCAUUCUGCAAUAAUUUUACCAUCAUAUUAGUCCCUGAAGUAUUUGUCUACUAUCAAAUUGAUCCUUACAUUAUAUUAAAAAACCAUCAAAUAAGUUAUUGAAUUAUAUAAACAUAAAUCAAUUUGGUCUUUGAAGUAGCCUAUGCAAUGUCCCACAAACAUAACUCAUCAACAUCCAUUUUUUCCAAAACACAGAAUUCACCACGAACAUAUUACAACCUCUGAUACUCAUCUCGCUCUAAACCACCACGGUGAUGCCGGAUUAGCGAGAUAUUGUCUUCCAUCCUACGGAUUUUGGCAACAUUAGUCUUAACCACAAACAAAACAACAUCAAAAUACAAACCCUAAAAUGCAAACCUUUUUCAGAAACUGUUUUAAUCAAUUAGUAAUUUCCUUCAUUACUGCCGACCAGAAAAAAAAAAAUUAAAUUUUUAAGUCUUAAACUAAAAACCAUAAAAUGAAUAAUCUAAACAACCCUGGAACGAAUUGGGGAAUGAAUAAUCUAAACCAUAAAAUGAAUAAUUUAAACUGACCAUUUUGAUAUUUCCUUAAAAUGGGAAAUCAAUUUGACAGAUCGGUGCAAAUUAGGACGAAGUUGAUGAUUCACUCCUAACAAAUCUGACUAGCCGGUCUUUCGAUCUAAAACCCUGGUUUGUCGAUGUUGAUAUCUAUCUCCCUCGCUACCGCACUUCUGUCACGUGCGUUCUUCUUCAAGUUCUGCCGUUGUGUCGUCGCCACUGGUGAGUUUCCUUCUUCCUCCUUUUUCUCUUCAGAUUCUUAUUAUUUAUGUAUUACUAAAACUGAUAUCAUGUGGUGACUGGUGAAUAAUCAGAUUCAUUGAUUUGUGCAUCAACAUCUAAACAUAAAUAAAUCUCAAACAUUUUUGGAUCAAAGAUGGGAGAGUUUUUAUUUAAAUUUAAAAAAUAAUGAAAUGUUUAGAAAAAUUGAAACCCUAGAAUUAGGUGGUGGUUCUCUAUUUCUUUGAUCCUUGCAUUCAGCUGUUUUGCCGAAGGUAUUAAGAAAAGGGCGAUGAUUACAACGAGAGAGGCCUUUAGUGGGGAAAUAAUACCCAAUUCCUUCGGAACAUUCUGAUUUUUCAUUCUUAUGAUCAUUUUAGCUUAUUUGUUUUCGAUAAAUUGUUUUGUUGUUCCGAGUUGUAGUUUUUACAAUGAUCUUGCUUUGAAUGAGAACCAUUUGUAUUGUUUUCUUGUUGAAGAUUCCAUGUAAUCAUCUCUCUCCCAACAUAACCUAGCUGGGUUUGACUUAAGUUUCUGUGGUUUUCUUGUCCGAUUAAUUAACAUAAUCGGAUAUGAAAACCACAUAAUUGCGUUAGACUUAGUUUGGUUAUGUUGUUGAAGAUAGAAUCAAACACUGAACAUGUUUUUCAUAAAUAUGGUGGGUUUGGUUGUGAUUGGGAAGCAGCCAAACAACUUUAGAGAUGAAAUUCACAUAUACUUAGUUAUUUUCCCCACCAUUCUACUAAUUCCAUCUCUCAUGUUCUUCUUUCUAGCUAUUAAUUAAAUUUAACUGUUCUUUUUCUUAUAUAAAGUCUGGGUCAGUUUGAUUGUUCAUUGCCUUCAACUGUUCUGCUGAAGGUAAAAGGGGCGAUGAUUACAAAGAAAGAAGAUGUCUUACGUGGAAAAUAUUACCUAAUUCCAUCCAUCGCAAAUGCUGGGUGCCUAAAGAGCAAUUUUCAAAAUCAAAACCAAAAACAAUAAACAACAAAUUAUAGGUCAGGAGUCGAAGGUGCCGCUAUACCCUUUUCACCCAAGGGCUUUUGGCUUUGGCAUCUCGUAUUCUGUCUUCUUCUUUUUUCUCCUCUUCCUCUCUCUUACUGUCCCUUCAAAUUGAAUUGGAUUUUUUCCUACAGUGAUAGAUCUAUCAAAAUUUACACUUCAUAUGAGCCCCUCAACCUUCUCAUUUUCCAUUCUUAUGAUCAUUUUAGUUUCUUUGUUUUAAAAAUUAGUUUUGUUCAGGGUUGUAGUUUUUUGUUUUUUUGCACUAAAGUUGUUUUGAAUGGGAAGCAUUUGUUGUUUACUUGUUGAUGAUUUUGUUUCGAAUUAUCCAAAAUAGGCUUGUUUCAAUUUCCCCUAACCUAACCAAACUGGAUCGACACCCGAGUUUUUGGUCUCUAUGCCCGAUUAAUUGAUUCAGUAAAUCGGGCAUGGAAACCGCUAACUUGGCGUAAAAUCUUAUUUGGUUAGGUUGUUGGAGAUUGAAUCAAUUGACCAACUACUGAUCAUGUUUUAUUACAAAUAUGGCGGGUUCUGUUGUAAUUGGGCAAGUAGAGAUGGAAUCCAGGGAUGCUGCGUUUUUUUGUCUCACCAUUCUACUAAUUCCAUCUCACAGUUUCUUAUUUGUUAAUAUCUGCUAUUCCAAUUUAAUUUUUUUAUGUAUUUUUUUUUAUUUUGACAGAAAGUUCGGGGUUUUGUAAUAUGGAAGAAGACUCUUGUUCUCUUUUAGUAAUUUGAUACAAGUUAUGGGCUUUUACACUUGGAUAUUAAUCAAUACUGAGGUAUGUGGGGAUGGUAUAAAUUGCAUGCUUUUAAGGCAUAGAAUUGCAUGUUAAGUAUUGAUCCUGAGAAUUUGCUAUGACUUGAUGGUAUUGAUGAGCCAUUACAGUGUUAUCUUGGAGUAAUAAUUAGCCAGAGCAUAUGUGCAACGGUGAAAGUGUCCGCUUCAGAAAUGUUUAUACCUAAUUUCUUGAAAGUUGAAUGCAAGCGAAAUCUUAUCUUAGAGUAAUAUUUACCUUUUUGUUUACAUUUGUUGAAUCACUUUAAAUUGGGAAGUGAACAUCGAAUCGAAACAUUUGUGGAGUCUUAGUUAAGACUGUUCAGUUGCCCCCUUUAGUUCAAUAUUUUUGAAGUUAUAUAAGUAAGUUAUCACAGAUAUACUUGCUAUUAAAGAUGUAGCAAGUUCAAUGAUUUCAAGUCUUAGAGUAAAAGUGUACAAACCAAAUAAAUUUCAUAUGAAUACAGACUAAAUAAGUCAUAGAGUACAGUGUACAAACCAAAUAAAUCUCAUGUUUCAGUAUUAUAAUUUAUUAUAGUUUAAUCCUCAAAUAGUUGGUCUUAGAGACGAGUCUCUAGAAUGGUUGAAGUAAAAAUAGGUUUUGGAUGAUGUGAGAUACAAAUCUGAAUUAUCCCUUGAGAGUAAUAUAAGGAGUCACUGGAGUGUAUACCUUUAUUUGUCUCCGAUCUGUUUGUGGAACCAAUUAUGUUUUUAGAUACUGUUUUUGCUCGUCACCCGGAUGCAUCGACUAUGGUUACAGUAUCGGAAUAGUUCCUUGUGCAGAAUUUAACUUGAAUCAUGUCUCUUUUAUUCAAUCAUCACCAAUGUUUUCUUUUUAACAUGUAUAAUGUAUUUAUAGUUUAUACUGUCAUCUGCAAAUUGUAUGUGGGUACUUCAUUAAUUGUUCAUUGCUUUCAGCUGUUUUGCUGAAAGUAGAAAAAAGGGGCGAUGAUUACAAUGAGAGAGGUCUUUAGUGGGAAAUACCCUAUUUGUUCGGAAAAUCAUAACCCAACUUCUAUCAGAGUUAGGAUCCUCUCCAUUUAUCAAUAUCAACAAAAAAAUUAAAAGAAAAUGAAAAUGAAGAAGAUUAGAACUUGAACGUGCCGCCAUACCCUUUUCACCAAAAGGGUCUGGCUUUGGCAUCUCAUAUUCUAUCUUCGUCUUCUUUCUCCUCUUCCUCUUUCUCUUACUGUCCCUUCAUAUUGAAUUGGGUUUUUUCCACAGUGACAGAGCUUUCUUAAUUUACACUUGAUAUGAGCCCCUCAACUUUCUGAUUUUCCAUCAUUAUUAUUAUUAUUAUUAACUUAUUUGUUUUUAAAAAUUAGUUUUGUUCAGAGUUGUAGUGUUUUUUCUUGCGCUGAUUUUAUUUUGGAUGAGGAAACACUUCAUGUUCUCGUCAAAGAUUCAGUGCGGACAGAAAAAGCUUGAUUUUAGCUACUGCUUGUUUCUGACGAACAUAUUUUUCAGAAUAUGGUGGAUUUGUUGUAAUUCGGCAGCGGCUCGACAACCGUGGAGAUGGAAUCCACAGAUGUUGAGUUUUUUCUUGUCUCACACUUCUACUAAUUCCAUCUCACAUUUUUUUCUUAUUUGUUAUCUGCUAAUUAAAUUAAUUGUUCAUUUGGAUGUAAUAUUUUUGAUAUUGAAAUAACUUUUUGGGGAUUAAUAAAAAGGAAGAAGACAAAGUAUUAUGUAAUCAAUUUGCUGCUUUUGCAUUUGCACUCUUUUUUUUUUUCCUUUCUUUUAAUUUGAUAAAAAUUAAUAGUUUUGAAUGGGAAGCAUUUGUUGUUUACCUGUUAUUGACGGUGUAGCAACUUCAAUGGUUUCAAUGCAGCAGAUAUGAAAACUUAAUAUUAAUCAAUGUUCCUGAGACUGGAAAGGCAAUCGUAUAGAAAUGCAUGAUAAGCAAUGUUCCUAAGAAUUUGGUGAAACAUUGAUGAGUCUUUACCGUGUGAACUUUGUGUUGUGGCAUAUUGGAUUGAGGAAUUUUUCAAGGGCUGUCUGUGUACCAUUUUUUAAGUUAAAAUCAUGUGCUAGUUAUAGAAAAACAUAUCACUUGUUUGUGACUGUAUAUACAAGCAAGUGCUGUACUUUGCCUCUCUUUGUUCUUGCAUGAAAUGAUGGAUAUACUGCGUCUUUGCAAUUGGGUGAUCGUUGAUUAUGUUUUUGUUUUUAAGGUGCUGCUUCAGAUAUCAUGCAAUGCACCUCUGGUAGUCUGGUUAAGUUUUUGUUCAAUAAGUUAUUAUAGGAAAAGGAUAUAAACAUUUACAAGUUAACAAGUUAAACGUUGAACUUUCUGAGUUAAGUUUCAGCUAAUUGCCAAUGCUCUAUUCUGUAUAAAGCGUGGGUUAGAUUCAUUGUUCAUUGCUUUCAGCUGAUUUGAUGAAGGUAUAAAGAAAAGGGAGAUUAUUAUAACGAGAGAGGCCUUUAGUGGGAAAUAAUAAUCAAUUCAAUCGGAAAAUCAGAACCCUAACUUCUAUCAGAGUUAGGAUUUGCUCCAUUUACCAAUAUCAACGAAAAGUGAAAAGAAAGUGAAAGCAAAGGAGGUCAGAACUGGAAGGUGCCGUCACACCCUUGUCACCAAAGGGUUUUGACUUUGGCAUUUUUUUUUAUUUUUAUUUUUUUGUUUUUUGUCUCACACUUCUACUGAUUCCAUAUCACAUUUUCUUAUGUUUAAGUGUUCAUUUUCAUGCAAGUUAACAAUUUUGAUUUGAAUUUCGGGGUUUUAUAAUAAGGAAGAAGACAGUAUUAUGGAAUCAAUUUGCUGCUUUUGCAUUUGCACUAUUUCUUGCUCUCUUUUAAUUUAAUAAUAAUUAAUAGCUUUCACAUUUUUCUAUUAAUCAAAAUACUGAAUAAAGUUAUGUGGGGAUGGUAUAGAGUUGCAUCCUAAUAUUAAGUUGUUUAGCAUAUGUGCAAUGUGUUAGCUAAAGACAUGUUUAUACCAUCUCUUACAUUAAUUUUUAUAAAUGUUUGUCCAUUAAGUUCAAAUUGUGAACCAAACAAUGAAUUGAAACGUUUGUAGAUGUUGAUGCCUAAUUAAGACUGUUCAAUCGCCCCCUUAUUAUUGAAGAUGUGGAACUUCGUUUUGAUGCAGCAGAUAUAUGAAUACAUUAUUAAAGAAAUCUUUAGACAAAAGACCUAAUAAUUCACGGUUUUCAGUAUUGUGAGGAGGUGAGCUGGAAGCAUAAUGCAGGGGUUGUUCUGUUUGCAAUAAGUAACUGCUUGGUUAGAAAACAUUAGAUAAUGAUGCUGUAAUUUUUAUACUAAUCAUGUUAUAGGAGGUUGAGAGAUGUAGAUUGCUGUAAUAUAUCCUCUUAGCAAGUUGAUUGAUCCGGAGUUUGUGAUUGUACUAUUUGUAGAUUUCUUUUUAUAUAAGUAGUGAUUGAUAAAAAAAAAAAUUUGUUCAUUUUUUGUUAGUCUCUGAUUGGGGUUUUUUAAGCCAAUGGUGCUUUAAGAUAAUUUUUUUUACGUUGCUAGUCACCCUUGUGCAGAAACUAUGGUUACAUGAACAGUUUGUUGUUUGAUUGAGAAUUGGAGAAUUUCAUGUAAAUGUGUCACUGGCUUGCUUUUUUUUGUGUGGAACUUACAGUUGCUGUAAUUAAUCUUCAUUGUACGAACAAUGCCAGUAGGGCUAUUAGGAAAUGGUUUUGCAAUCUUUUGCUAAAAAAGUAAAAUGAUAAAAGGAGGAUGAAGGUGGAGCGAGAGCUGCAAACUUGUGUUGAUUGUGGGGAAUACUACAUAAAAGACCCAUCAUGACAUCAAUUCUAAUUUGUCACAAUUCAUGGCAAAAAAAGGUAUGUUUUUGUUUAAUUUAACAUAUUGUUCUCUUGAUUCAUUUCAUUACUUAUCUUCAUUACCGCUUUUAAAAAGACUUGUUGGACCCUUUUCUCUUAGUAUCAGAACUAUUUGGCCUUUUGAACGUGUAAUUUAAGGGCAUUUGAUCCUUUCACUCUAGGAUCUAGAUUGAAUUGUAGUAGAGGAAAACCAUUGAUGAUUAUAAAUGCUGUAUAGAAUUGUUAGGAACAAGAAUGACUACAAAUUGAUGAACAGGGAUCAACCUGUUAAUAUUUUGUAUUUUAUGUUUGAUAAGGUAAAAUAAAUAAAUUUUCAGGGAAAAAUUAAACCCCUAAUAAAAAUGCUUGAUGCUAUGAGUUGUAUCCUUUGUUCGCCACUUUUAGUGUUUCAGCAUUUUGCUGAGCCGAAACUGCAGGGCAGUGAUUAGAAUGAGAGAAGCCUUGAGUGGGAAUACCCAAUUCCAUAGAUAAAUUCGUAUAUAGAAACACUUUUAUUCUCUUCACCCCCCCAAAAAUCAAACAAAACAAAAUCAAAGAAGCUUUGAGCUCAAUGGUGCCGCCGAGCCUUUUUCACCAAUGGGGUUUGACUUUGGUAUCUCAGGUUCUAUCUUCCUCUUCCUUCUCCUCCUUCUCUUUUUUAUUCUUUUAUCGUCCCUUAAAUUGAAUUGGGUUUUCCCCACAGUGACAGAUCAUUCCCUCAACCUUCUGAUUUUAUAUUGUUUUGAUUAUUAACUUAUUUGUUUUAAAAAUUUGUUUUGUGAAGAGUUGUAGUUAUGUUUAUUGCCUGAUUUUGUUUUGGACAAGGAACACUUGUGUGUUGUUUUCUUGUUAAAGAUUCAGUGCGCACAGGAAAAGCUUGAUUAUAGCUACUACUGCUUGUUUUCUGCUUUUCAGAAAAAAUAGUGGGUUUGUUGUAAUUGGGAAGCGGCCAGACAACCGUAGAGAUGGAAUCCACAGAUCUUGAGUUUUUUUCUCACACUUCUACUAAUUCCAUCUCACAUUUACUUAUGAUUAACUGUUAAUCUUAAUUUAUUGGUUUAUUUUGAUGUAACUUUUAUUGUUGGCAUAAAUUUUGGGGUUUUAUGACGUGGAAGAAGACAUAUAGUAGUAUGCAUAUGAAUACACUCUGUUUUGAAUCAAUUUGCUUCAUUUAUACUUUUUGUUGUCUUUUAAUUUUAUAAAAAUUAAGUGCUUUUAUAUUUAUCGUAAUCAAUACUAAAGUAAGACAUUGCAUGGUUUUAAUUGCAUGUGAGUCAUUGAAGUGGAUACCUUCAUUUGUCUCUGAUUGGCUUUUUUUGGAGACAAUUAUGUUUCAGAUGAUUUUUUGUAGGCUGCUCAUCACCCGGAUGUGGCAACUACGGUUACAGUACAGAAUUAAACUUGAAUAAUGUCUCUUGCAUUCAAUCAUCAUAACCAAUGUAUUCUUUAUAACACAUUUAUAAUGUCAUCCCCAAACAAGAAAGAGUGUAUACUGAAUUCAUCAAUCACGUGAGAUCGAAUUUAUGUACAAUACGCUCUCACUGCUUCACACAACCAAAGCUUGUGCAACCAAUGUUUCACUCUGAACUCAAUGUUUCCUCAGUAGAUGGUCUUUAUAAUGAAGGAUCUUGCAUUCAGGGAUGAAGAAUCUUGCAUUCAGGGAUGAAGAAUCUAUUGGCAGACUCUACUGAUAGCAACAGCUUUGUUAUAUUGAGUGUUUUUUUUUAUAGGUGUAAGGGUAUUUAAAGUACUGAUUGAUGCAAUUAUGCGAUCAAUAUAAAGGUAUAGUGAUGACUUUGGACUGCUAUUUGGCUCGUGUAUAUUGUUUUAUCUUCGCUUUAAGUGAUCAAACAUCUUUUGACUAAAUAAGUAAAUAAUAAAUGCAUAUGCUUUAUUUAUCAAAUAAGUUAUCUUCUUGUU